Long non-coding RNA from Chelonoidis abingdonii (Abingdon island giant tortoise), 101 nucleotides. RefSeq lists it as uncharacterized. Lineage: Eukaryota; Metazoa; Chordata; Testudines; Testudinidae. The record is from RefSeq and is a predicted model, not a curated record.
AGAAGUCUGGCGCCAUUAGUUUUUAAUUAAAAAAAUAUAGGGGGAAAUCUCAACAUUAAGAUAAAGCUAAGCAGGACUCAAGUUUCACUAUAUAAACUGGG